CUGAUCAGCCAUGCCGCGUGUGUGAAGAAGGCCCUCGGGUUGUAAAGCACUUUCAGCGAGGAAGAACGCCUAGCGGUUAAUACCCGCUAGGAAAGACAUCACUCGCAGAAGAAGCACCGGCUAACUCCGUGCCAGCAGCCGCGGUAAUACGGAGGGUGCAAGCGUUAAUCGGAAUUACUGGGCGUAAAGCGCGCGUAGGUGGCUUGAUAAGCCGGUUGUGAAAGCCCCGGGCUCAACCUGGGAACGGCAUCCGGAACUGUCAAGCUAGAGUGCAGGAGAGGAAGGUAGAAUUCCCGGUGUAGCGGUGAAAUGCGUAGAGAUCGGGAGGAAUACCAGUGGCGAAGGCGGCCUUCUGGACUGACACUGACACUGAGGUGCGAAAGCGUGGGUAGCAAACAGGAUUAGAUACCCUGGUAGUCCACGCCGUAAACGAUGUCGACCAGCCGUUGGGUGCCUAGCGCACUUUGUGGCGAAGUUAACGCGAUAAGUCGACCGCCUGGGGAGUACGGCCGCAAGGUUAAAACUCAAAUGA
Molecule: ribosomal RNA, 532 nt
Filed under: Halomonas sp.
Lineage: Bacteria; Pseudomonadati; Pseudomonadota; Gammaproteobacteria; Oceanospirillales; Halomonadaceae
Description: bacterial SSU rRNA
Rfam family: Bacterial small subunit ribosomal RNA
Source: RNAcentral